GAACUAGAGACCGGCGCACGGGUGCGUAACGCGUAUGCAAUCUACCUUUCACAAAGGAAUAGCCCAGAGAAAUUUGGAUUAAUACCUUAUAGUAAUACGACUUGGCAUCAAGAUGUAUUUAAAGAUUUAUCGGUGAAAGAUGAGCAUGCGUCCCAUUAGCUAGUUGGUAAGGUAACGGCUUACCAAGGCAACGAUGGGUAGGGGUCCUGAGAGGGAGAUCCCCCACACUGGUACUGAGACACGGACCAGACUCCUACGGGAGGCAGCAGUGAGGAAUAUUGGACAAUGGGCGCAAGCCUGAUCCAGCCAUGCCGCGUGCAGGAUGACGGUCCUAUGGAUUGUAAACUGCUUUUAUACGAGAAGAAACACUCCGACGUGUCGGAGCUUGACGGUAUCGUAAGAAUAAGGAUCGGCUAACUCCGUGCCAGCAGCCGCGGUAAUACGGAGGAUCCAAGCGUUAUCCGGAAUCAUUGGGUUUAAAGGGUCCGUAGGCGGUCAGAUAAGUCAGUGGUGAAAGCCCAUCGCUCAACGGUGGAACGGCCAUUGAUACUGUCUGACUUGAAUUAUUAGGAAGUAACUAGAAUAUGUAGUGUAGCGGUGAAAUGCUUAGAGAUUACAUGGAAUACCAAUUGCGAAGGCAGGUUACUACUAAUUGAUUGACGCUGAUGGACGAAAGCGUGGGUAGCGAACAGGAUUAGAUACCCUGGUAGUCCACGCCGUAAACGAUGGAUACUAGCUGUUGGGAGCAAUCUCAGUGGCUAAGCGAAAGUGAUAAGUAUCCCACCUGGGGAGUACGUUCGCAAGAAUGAAACUCAAAGGAAUUGACGGGGGCCC
This 834-nucleotide ribosomal RNA is filed under the name Flavobacterium xinjiangense. RNAcentral describes it as "bacterial SSU rRNA". It matches the Rfam family "Bacterial small subunit ribosomal RNA", at positions 85 to 922 of the family's 1533-position model. The record is from RNAcentral. Lineage: Bacteria; Pseudomonadati; Bacteroidota; Flavobacteriia; Flavobacteriales; Flavobacteriaceae.